RNAcentral lists this ribosomal RNA (253 nucleotides) under uncultured bacterium. RNAcentral's name for it is "partial 16S ribosomal RNA". It matches the Rfam family "Bacterial small subunit ribosomal RNA", at positions 524 to 776 of the family's 1533-position model. The record is from RNAcentral.
UACAGAGGGUGCGAGCGUUAAUCGGAAUUACUGGGCGUAAAGCGUGCGUAGACGGUUAUUUAAGUCGGAUGUGAAAUCCCCGGGCUUAACCUGGGAACUGCAUUUGUGACUGCAUGGCUAGGGUGCGGCAGAGGGGGAUGGAAUUCCGCGUGUAGCAGUGAAAUGCGUAGAUAUGCGGAGGAACACCGAUGGCGAAGGCAAUCCCCUGGGCCUGCACUGACGCUCAUGCACGAAAGCGUGGGGAGCAAACAGG